ACCAUCGGCAAGGAGAUCAUUGA
RNAcentral lists this non-coding RNA (23 nucleotides) under Cricetulus griseus (Chinese hamster). Lineage: Eukaryota; Metazoa; Chordata; Mammalia; Rodentia; Cricetidae. The record is from RNAcentral.